Molecule: long non-coding RNA, 1654 nt
Organism: Gallus gallus (chicken)
Lineage: Eukaryota; Metazoa; Chordata; Aves; Galliformes; Phasianidae
Exons: 2
Source: RefSeq, a predicted model, not a curated record
GUGAGUGUCCGCGUUGGAUGCUCGGAGCGUCUGCGGAAUGGAGAGCCGCGCUCCGCCCGCCGGGUGCCGCGCACUGCCGCCAGGGGGCGCUGUCCGCCCGCAGCCGCCGCUUCCUUUGGUGCCUCUCCGUCCCUUUGGGGUCCCCCCGGGGUCCCUGAAUCGUGGGGUUCCCCCCUGGUUCCUUUGGGGUCCCCUGGUUCCUGCUGCUCCCCCCUGCUUCCUUUGGGGUCCCCUGGUUCCUGCUGCUCCCCCCCGGUUCCUUUGGGGUCCCUGAAUUGUGGUGGUUUCCCCAGUCCCUUUGGCAUCCCUGGUUGCCUGUGGGGUUCCCCCCCUGUUCCUUUUGGGUCCCUCUGGUUCAUUUAGGAUCUCCCGGUUCCUUUGAGGUUCCUGGUGCUCCCCCAGUUCCUUUGGGGUCUCUGAACUGUGGCGGGGCCUCCCAGUUCCUUUGGGGUCCCCUGGUUCCCAGUGGAUCCCCCCCAGUUCCUUUCGGAUCUCAGAUUCUUUUGGGGUCCCCUGGGUUCCGUUGGGGUCCCUGAAUUGUGAUGGGUUCCCUGGUUUCUUCGGGGUACCCCCUGGUUCCUUUGGAGUCUGUGGUUCCCUGUGGGUCCCCGGUUCCUUUUGGGUCCCCCUGGUUCCUUUGGGAUCCCAGAUUCCUUUGGGGUCCCCCCCAUUCCUUUGGAGUUCCUGGUGGGUCCCUUCAGUUCCUUUGGAGUCUCCCGGUUCCUUUGGGGUUCCCUGAUCAGUUCCUGCUUGCAGCCCCCACUCCCGGAGCUGUUGGAGCUGUUGUGCACAUUGGCUCUGCUGGGUGCAGCCCAACAGCCCCAUUUCUGCUCUGUGGUGAAUGCUGCGUAGUUUCCAUUUGCAAACAGGAUGUGCCCCAAAGCAUUCGGUGUUCAAUGCUCCGUGGGGUUAAAGAUGUGUUUACUGAAGAACAUCCUAAAGAGAAGUGGAAAAGAAAACCAUCCCGGAGUGCCCUCACGUGCUUCUGCUUCACCCAACGAAGCAAAGUAAUGCAAAGCUCGGCUGCGAGGAGAGCAUUUACGAUUGCAGUUGAGCCACACAGCCCUGAAGUCACUGCGCCUGUGCUGCUGCUGCUGCUUUGCACCGAGCACAGAUCCAACCAGAGUGCACCACCGCUGUCUGCACCAAUUCACUGCUCUUUGAACUCCCAUCCACGCGUAUUUAUCUCAUUCUCUGCUCUCUAAAGGUUAUUUUGGAUGGCGUUGCCCACUGUGGGUUGGUCGGAGUGGCUGCAGGGGCGCCGUGCGGAUGCACACGAGCUCCCAUAGCCGGCAGCAGGAUGAGGAACUUAAUUAAUGUGAAGUUCGGAGCUGACCUUUGCAGAAAUCGUUAAAACUAAUGAGCGUUUUUAUCUGUUUUGCCAGGACUCGACUCCAAGGAAAUGAAAUUAAUUCCUAUUGUGGAACAUUCGGUGAGGAGCCGCGCUCUCGUUCUUUACUGUGGCUGAUGGAGCUGACGGCUGCCCCCUCCCCGAGCUCACGUGGAGCAGCUCUGCUUCUUCCAGUGUUAUCCAGAAGAGUCUGAGACCGCUCCCAGUGACCCCAUGGGCGUGAUGGAUGCUGAAACAGACCGAGGGCGAGUGCUGGGGCCUGGGGCAUGAAAAUGCCCAGCAGUAAAAGCAGCACUCGUCUGA